RNAcentral lists this transfer RNA (71 nucleotides) under Penaeus monodon (black tiger shrimp). RNAcentral's name for it is "tRNA-Glu". It matches the Rfam family "tRNA". Rfam says of the family: Transfer RNA (tRNA) molecules are approximately 80 nucleotides in length. Their secondary structure includes four short double-helical elements and three loops (D, anti-codon, and T loops). The record is from RNAcentral. Lineage: Eukaryota; Metazoa; Arthropoda; Malacostraca; Decapoda; Penaeidae.
UCCCGUGUGGUCUAGUGGCUAGGAUACGCGGCUCUCACCCGCGAGGCCGGGUUCGAUUCCCCGCACGGGAA